GGUUAAGCGACUAAGCGUACACGGUGGAUGCCCUGGCAGUCAGAGGCGAUGAAGGACGUGCUAAUCUGCGAUAAGCGUCGGUAAGGUGAUAUGAACCGUUAUAACCGGCGAUUUCCGAAUGGGGAAACCCAGUGUGAUUCGUCACACUAUCAUUAACUGAAUCCAUAGGUUAAUGAGGCGAACCGGGGGAACUGAAACAUCUAAGUACCCCGAGGAAAAGAAAUCAACCGAGAUUCCCCCAGUAGCGGCGAGCGAACGGGGAGCAGCCCAGAGCCUGAAUCAGUGUGUGUGUUAGUGGAAGCGUCUGGAAAGGCGCGCGAUACAGGGUGACAGCCCCGUACACAAAAAUGCACAUACUGUGAGCUCGAUGAGUAGGGCGGGACACGUGGUAUCCUGUCUGAAUAUGGGGGGACCAUCCUCCAAGGCUAAAUACUCCUGACUGACCGAUAGUGAACCAGUACCGUGAGGGAAAGGCGAAAAGAACCCCGGCGAGGGGAGUGAAAAAGAACCUGAAACCGUGUACGUACAAGCAGUGGGAGCCUCUUUUAUGGGGUGACUGCGUACCUUUUGUAUAAUGGGUCAGCGACUUAUAUUCUGUAGCAAGGUUAACCGAAUAGGGGAGCCGAAGGGAAACCGAGUCUUAACCGGGCGUUAAGUUGCAGGGUAUAGACCCGAAACCCGGUGAUCUAGCCAUGGGCAGGUUGAAGGUUGGGUAACACUAACUGGAGGACCGAACCGACUAAUGUUGAAAAAUUAGCGGAUGACUUGUGGCUGGGGGUGAAAGGCCAAUCAAACCGGGAGAUAGCUGGUUCUCCCCGAAAGCUAUUUAGGUAGCGCCUCGUGAAUUCAUCUCCGGGGGUAGAGCACUGUUUCGGCAAGGGGGUCAUCCCGACUUACCAACCCGAUGCAAACUGCGAAUACCGGAGAAUGUUAUCACGGGAGACACACGGCGGGUGCUAACGUCCGUCGUGAAGAGGGAAACAACCCAGACCGCCAGCUAAGGUCCCAAAGUCAUGGUUAAGUGGGAAACGAUGUGGGAAGGCCCAGACAGCCAGGAUGUUGGCUUAGAAGCAGCCAUCAUUUAAAGAAAGCGUAAUAGCUCACUGGUCGAGUCGGCCUGCGCGGAAGAUGUAACGGGGCUAAACCAUGCACCGAAGCUGCGGCAGCGACACUGUGUGUUGUUGGGUAGGGGAGCGUUCUGUAAGCCUGUGAAGGUGUACUGUGAGGUAUGCUGGAGGUAUCAGAAGUGCGAAUGCUGACAUAAGUAACGAUAAAGCGGGUGAAAAGCCCGCUCGCCGGAAGACCAAGGGUUCCUGUCCAACGUUAAUCGGGGCAGGGUGAGUCGACCCCUAAGGCGAGGCCGAAAGGCGUAGUCGAUGGGAAACAGGUUAAUAUUCCUGUACUUGGUGUUACUGCGAAGGGGGGACGGAGAAGGCUAUGUUGGCCGGGCGACGGUUGUCCCGGUUUAAGCGUGUAGGCUGGUUUUCCAGGCAAAUCCGGAAAAUCAAGGCUGAGGCGUGAUGACGAGGCACUACGGUGCUGAAGCAACAAAUGCCCUGCUUCCAGGAAAAGCCUCUAAGCAUCAGGUAACAUCAAAUCGUACCCCAAACCGACACAGGUGGUCAGGUAGAGAAUACCAAGGCGCUUGAGAGAACUCGGGUGAAGGAACUAGGCAAAAUGGUGCCGUAACUUCGGGAGAAGGCACGCUGAUAUGUAGGUGAAGUCCCUCGCGGAUGGAGCUGAAAUCAGUCGAAGAUACCAGCUGGCUGCAACUGUUUAUUAAAAACACAGCACUGUGCAAACACGAAAGUGGACGUAUACGGUGUGACGCCUGCCCGGUGCCGGAAGGUUAAUUGAUGGGGUCAGCGCAAGCGAAGCUCUUGAUCGAAGCCCCGGUAAACGGCGGCCGUAACUAUAACGGUCCUAAGGUAGCGAAAUUCCUUGUCGGGUAAGUUCCGACCUGCACGAAUGGCGUAAUGAUGGCCAGGCUGUCUCCACCCGAGACUCAGUGAAAUUGAACUCGCUGUGAAGAUGCAGUGUACCCGCGGCAAGACGGAAAGACCCCGUGAACCUUUACUAUAGCUUGACACUGAACAUUGAGCCUUGAUGUGUAGGAUAGGUGGGAGGCUUUGAAGUGUGGACGCCAGUCUGCAUGGAGCCGACCUUGAAAUACCACCCUUUAAUGUUUGAUGUUCUAACGUGGACCCGUGAUCCGGGUUGCGGACAGUGUCUGGUGGGUAGUUUGACUGGGGCGGUCUCCUCCUAAAGAGUAACGGAGGAGCACGAAGGUUGGCUAAUCCUGGUCGGACAUCAGGAGGUUAGUGCAAUGGCAUAAGCCAGCUUGACUGCGAGCGUGACGGCGCGAGCAGGUGCGAAAGCAGGUCAUAGUGAUCCGGUGGUUCUGAAUGGAAGGGCCAUCGCUCAACGGAUAAAAGGUACUCCGGGGAUAACAGGCUGAUACCGCCCAAGAGUUCAUAUCGACGGCGGUGUUUGGCACCUCGAUGUCGGCUCAUCACAUCCUGGGGUUGAAGUAGGUCCCAAGGGUAUGGCUGUUCGCCAUUUAAAGUGGUACGCGAGCUGGGUUUAGAACGUCGUGAGACAGUUCGGUCCCUAUCUGCCGUGGGCGCUGGAGAACUGAGGGGGGCUGCUCCUAGUACGAGAGGACCGGAGUGGACGCAUCACUGGUGUUCGGGUUGUCAUGCCAAUGGCACUGCCCGGUAGCUAAAUGCGGAAGAGAUAAGUGCUGAAAGCAUCUAAGCACGAAACUUGCCCCGAGAUGAGUUCUCCCUGACCCUUUAAGGGUCCUGAAGGAACGUUGAAGACGACGACGUUGAUAGGCCGGGUGUGUAAGCGCAGCGAUGCGUUGAGCUAACCGGUACUAAUGAACCGUGAGGCUUAACCUU
This 2903-nucleotide ribosomal RNA is filed under the name Escherichia coli. RNAcentral describes it as "23S ribosomal RNA". It matches the Rfam family "Bacterial large subunit ribosomal RNA". RNAcentral also lists the same sequence under 1 other name. The record is from RNAcentral. Lineage: Bacteria; Pseudomonadati; Pseudomonadota; Gammaproteobacteria; Enterobacterales; Enterobacteriaceae.